This 446-nucleotide ribosomal RNA is filed under the name uncultured bacterium. RNAcentral's name for it is "bacterial SSU rRNA". It matches the Rfam family "Bacterial small subunit ribosomal RNA", at positions 29 to 517 of the family's 1533-position model. The record is from RNAcentral.
AACGAACGCUGGCGGCAUGCCUAACACAUGCAAGUCGAACGAGACCUUCGGGUCUAGUGGCGCACGGGUGCGUAACGCGUGGGAAUCUGCCCUUCGGUUCGGAACAACAGUUAGAAAUGACUGCUAAUACCGGAUAAUGACGUAAGUCCAAAGAUUUAUCGCCGAAGGAUGAGCCCGCGUAAGAUUAGGUAGUUGGUGGGGGUAAUGGCCUACCAAGCCGACGAUCUUUAGCUGGUCUGAGAGGAUGAUCAGCCACACUGGGACUGAGACACGGCCCAGACUCCUACGGGAGGCAGGCAGUGGGGGAAUAUUGGACAAUGGGCGAAUGCCUGAUCCAGCAAUGCCGCGUGAGUGAUGAAGGCCUUAGGGUUGUAAAGCUCUUUUACCAGGGGUGAUAAUGACAGUACCUGGAGAAUAAGCUCCGGCUAACUCCGUGCCAGCAGCCG